Molecule: ribosomal RNA, 497 nt
Filed under: uncultured bacterium
Lineage: Bacteria
Description: partial 16S ribosomal RNA
Rfam family: Bacterial small subunit ribosomal RNA
Source: RNAcentral
GAUGAACGCUGGCGGCGUGCCUAAUACAUGCAAGUCGAGCGAACAGACGAGGAGCUUGCUCCUCUGACGUUAGCGGCGGACGGGUGGGUAACACGUGGAUAACCUACCUAUAAGACUGGGAUAACUUCGGGAAACCGGAGCUAAUACCGGAUAAUAUAUUGAACCGCAUGGUUCAAUAGUGAAAGACGGUUUUGCUGUCACUUAUAGAUGGAUCCGCGCCGCAUUAGCUAGUUGGUAAGGUAACGGCUUACCAAGGCGACGAUGCGUAGCCGACCUGAGAGGGUGAUCGGCCACACUGGAACUGAGACACGGUCCAGACUCCUAAGGGAGGCAGCAGUAGGGAAUCUUGCGCAAAGGGAGAAAGCCGGACGGAGGAACGCCGCGUGGGUGAUGAAGGUCUUCGGAUCGUAAAACUCUGUUAUUAGGGAAGAACAAAUGUGUAAGUAACUAUGCACGUCUUGACGGUACCUAAUCAGAAAGCCACGGCUAACUACGUG